RNAcentral lists this long non-coding RNA (562 nucleotides) under Podarcis muralis (Common wall lizard). RNAcentral describes it as "lncRNA (ENSPMRG00000009286.1)". Lineage: Eukaryota; Metazoa; Chordata; Lepidosauria; Squamata; Lacertidae. The record is from RNAcentral.
AAUCCCUUCAUUACAUCCUUUCCUCUCUUUCCCCUUGAGCAAAUCUCUAUUUUGCUGGCUGGCAAUAACAUAUUUAUUACUGCACAGGUUGCAAAAUUUGCCUUGGCUGCAAGUAAGUUGAGCACUAGGCACCAAGACACGUAUCAUAAGGGGGAGUGUGAGAUGUGGAGUGCUUAACUUAUGCAGAAAGUUGCUCUCAUCCUGAUCAUGUUAUGCCUCACCUGGCUGGGCAAGUGCCACGGCUCCUGUGUCCGAACCGUAAAUAAAGCAGAAGUUAAAGAUGGAUCAGUCAUUCCUCCAGAUGGAUGCACUUCUCCUUUGGAUGGGACAAAACACGGAAUGGGGACUGAGUGGAAUGGAGCUAACGGCAUGAAAUGCAAAUGCAGCAGAAGCGGAGCAGAAUGCUGUGACAAUAGCAUACCUGGAACCAACGGGAAAUGAUGAUGCUUCGCAGCUGAAUUUUGAAGCUAUAAAGGGACCCAUCACAACUGUGUUUUGAAGCUAUACAAACCUAUUCCAUUCCCUUCAUGUUAGAGAACCAGAAUAAAUCAGUCAAUGUCCU